Molecule: long non-coding RNA, 8402 nt
Filed under: Musa acuminata (dwarf banana)
Lineage: Eukaryota; Viridiplantae; Streptophyta; Magnoliopsida; Zingiberales; Musaceae
Description: long non-coding RNA (MACU_LNC003521)
Source: RNAcentral
UACAGGACAUGAGGAACCACAAACUGCAAAGCCAUAAUGAGGGCAAGAUAAGCUGACGGCAUAUUCUACAAUCUCGCAGGAAAAUUUCAAGUGAAAUUUACUUGGACACCAUUGGAAUAAACCAGAAAGGAAGAGGCAUGAAGAGCGAGAAUGGACAUGAGGAGGAACCACAAACUGCAAAACAAUAAUCAGGGCAAGAUAAGCUAACUGCAUAUUUUCCAAUCCUAACAGAAAUGUCAAGUGAUAUCUACUUAGAUCUCAUUGGACAGAAACAAAAAGGAAGAGGUCUGGGGAGAGAGUAGAUGAUAAUUGUCACAAGGUGGAAGAAGUAUGAACUAUGAAGAACUUGUGACUGAAAGUGCUCAAAUUACAAAUCAUUCUAUGUAGAAGGCAAAGAGAAGUUAACAGCAUCAAGUGCAAACUUAAAUAGAGCAAUUUUACUAGAAUGUAGGUUGUAGCUUGAAGUAGUAUGGUAUUUAAGUUUGUAAAUCUGACGAGGGAUAUGGUUUACUAGAAUGUAGGUUGUAAUUUAAACUGCAUAUAGCCAGACAAUGGAGGAUGAACCUAUCAUGGGACACCUAAUCUGACAUGUUACACAUGCAUAUCUAUAUAAAAAAUGAUAUUAGGAAUUCUGUCAGUAUGACAACCUAAAGGUCCUAAAAUUAUAUAUAUGGAAAGAUAAUGUCCAAUUUUCAAUUGUAAUCAGGAACAACAAGCAGUUGCAAUAAAGUAGCUCAAGUCUGUCCAUACAUAACAUCCCCUAAAUCUUGCUCAAAAGGUGUCCAGUGCAUUCUCAGAAUAUCAGUUUAUAACUAGAACUGUCAAAAAUACUAGAGCAAGUCGAACAAGUAAAUCAGCAUCCAGAAUUCAUAAAGCAAAAUUUUGUAGAAUUGUUGCAAAAUCAAAGUUCACAAUAAGUGUGUAUUGGAUCUUACUGAGCUUUUAGAUACGUCUCUCUUUCCUCUGCAUCUGCAAUUUCUGACCGAAGAGACUCUACUUCUACUCUAGUAAGUUCAAUCUGAUACCCAAAAAAAUAUUUUCUCAGUUAUAUAUAAAUGCUAUAUUUCUUAUUGGGUCAAUGGAAGUUAUAUCUUAAUAUAAAAAUGAUUUAUUAACUUUAUCAUUGUGAUCUCUUGAUCCCCAUGGAAGACGUGAAAGCGUAAACAAGUUCAGCAGAGAUGCAGCUCCCAUUACUCUUCUUACAGCCCACGAAUGGCCAAGUGAUCUGUACCAGAGACGUAUGAAGAAUUUAUGAUAUCAUUUAAAGCCAAUAUUUGAGAAGCUAAAUCCAUGUCAUAUUACAGAUGUAAUACUAAUAUCUCACCUCAGCUUAUAAUCUGCCCUUGAAUUUGUUGUUUGGGGAGAGUGUUCAGAUGCUUCGGUGGGUCGGAAGUGUUCUGGGAGAACCUCUAGCUUUCCAUAAACAUCAUCCAUUAAGCAGAUUCACUUUUACAAAAUCCUGCCUAUACAUAAGUCUUAGUGAGCCCACAAAUUUUUUAUUUGCUUAUAGCUCCAAGCCUCUGGCAAUAACAUGUGACUCGUUUUCAGAUACUUGCCUCAGUAACAAUCAUGACAUAGAAGUUCAAUGUAAAUGAUUUUAGGAUGUAUCCCUUCCCUGUAACCUUCAAUAGAAAUUAUAUAUCAGGGGAUUGCUAUCAGUAUGAUCAGUUUGUCUGAAGAGAAAGCUCCAUAGAAGCUAGAGAGAGAAGCACCACAUAUUAGGUCAAAGUAAUGAUGAUCAAAUGUUAAAGUUCACAUCAUGAAACUCAAGAAGUUGAGGAGAUACACAAACAUGAAAAGACUAAGCAUACUGUACCAAAUUCCCAUCAAUUUAACCAACAGGAAUAUAUCAAACAAAAGAGGUGGUUACACGAAAAAGAUUGAAUACUAAAGAUCUGGUCAAAAGCCUAGGGACCAACUAUGUUGCCAUAGUAAUAUCACAGUCUAAUGGUGAAGUAACAAAGAGACAUCAAGGAUAGGAAUUAUUAAAAGAUGAAUGCCCACAAAAAUAAUAGAACAUUCAAAACCAAUAUCAUAGUCUGGAUUCUUUAAUCAACUAUUGAUGGUAGACUAAUGGGAUUUUUAUCAUCUCAUCUGAUUGAAAGUUCACACCAUCUUUUGCAGUGGGAGUAAAUUUGUCAUAAAUGUCAAAUUCUUGCAUUGCGAGUGUAAACUAAUGUCUUAGGUACACAGCCUGUCACACCCUGAAAUAUUUGAACUUUGUACCAACAAAAUUAUAUCGUGCAUAAACCACCACUUCAAAACUCAUACCUACAUUGGUAAAUUUUUCAUUAAAUCCAAUAUUCUUUGUAUUUACAAUAAACCAUAUCAACUUGAAAAAUACUAAAACUUCUUGAUAGUACUAUUUGAUGACAAAGAAGUUUCCUCCACCUAAGUCUCUCAAUCUAAUAUAUGUCAGGAGGCUGCUUUGAAAAAAAUACAAAACAAAAAUAUAUCAACAAUCAUGCUAAAUAGGCACCUUUGAAAAUCAUAAAAACAAUCGAUGAGUUAGAUAUUCUUUCAACAAUAGAUGAAGAGAUCUUAUAUCGAACUGUCAACAUUGGAUAAAGUGAUAUCUCUCACCUACUCGAGUAGGGACACAUUACUCUCAAUAAUGAAUGAAGGAACCAUCUAACUGUAAAAAAAAAAUCAUCCUACCAAUACUAACUUGCCUCUUGGUAGAGAAUAAUAGCCCUCAUCAUCAUAUAUCACAAUCGUAUAUCUUCGUUUAUUUCAUUCAUGCAUUAAAAAAAACCCUAUAAAAUAUCAUAAUAACUACACUUGACAUAUGACAUGGGAGACUUAGUGCAUUAGUAGUUCUGUACUGUGAUAGGCCGUAGUUUCUUUCGUAGGGGCAUUAUCAACAAAAAUACUCAGUAUAGUCACAUUUGCCUCAUGAUAACAAUGAUCAUAAUGUUAACCUCGAUGCCAAAUAUCAUUUAAAAUUAGAAACAAAUAAUUAUUCUCAAAUUUCAUAAUAUAACUUAAAAUAAGACUUUUAAAUUCAUUAAAUAACAAAAUCAUGAAGUUUUAAUCCCUCUGCAACCCUAAAUUGACCUAAACCCUAACUGAAAUGGUUCAAUUGACUUGAGCUGAAUAGAUUUUCAACUGAAAACCCAAUUGAAACAACAUCAAGUUCACCUAAGAAGGGUCAAUUGAUCACAACACUCAAACUGGCCACAAAGGGGCCCCUGGCCGACUUGCCCAUAGGGCACAGGCUUGAGGCCCCUGUGGGCUGCUAGCCUAGCCCAAUUUGGGCUAAAAAGGGGGUGGGCAUAGAUUCGAGUCCGACACACAUUUUUGGGUCGUGCUCGAGCUAGGCUGCAAGCGCUUGGACCAAGGUUGCGUGCAUCACGUGUUCGCACAACAUAGGAAAGCGACAAGCUGGGCUUCAGUGUCAAGCCACAUGUGGGCCUUAGGUGCUAGGUUGAUCGGCCCAUGCCGAGCCAAUGUAGAUGGGCCACGCAUAGCCUCUUAGGUUGACCCAUGCCAUGUUGACUUGGGUCCACGACACGCUAGCCUUGAGUCAAGCUGAUCCCAAGCUGGCUCCUAUGUUGGUCUACAGGGCUCAAUUUGUUGGGUGGCAUCUGCUUUGGCCGUCAAGCAACUGGGCAUUGGCUCAAUGCUACUCUAUGACCAAGCCUGAGUUUAACUCAAAUUGGUUUGACCUAGUGUUGAUCGGCUUGGCUUGGGUCGAGUUAGCCUAGCCCAAUGUUAGACCCAAUCUUCACCCUCAUUCAAAUUUUAAUUUCAAAUUUAUUUUUUUCAAGCAUAAAUUAAAUAAACAACUAAUUGACAAAUGAAAUAAGAUAAGUUCAUUCAAACAUGAAAUCUAAUGAAAUUAACAGCAAUAAGCAAACUAAUUUAAUCAAAUAAAUCAACAUAUCACAAUAAUUAAAUCAAUUUAAGGAAUCAUGAAUAAUGGCACAAUUUUGCAAAAUUCAUUAAAAAAAUAAUAAGUAUGAUUCAAUAUUUAAACUCAUCAAAAAUCUUCAUGCAUUUUAAUCAUAAAACAUAAAAUUAAAUCGUUAUUCAAAAAUCAUUAAUCACAAUUCAAAACUAUUAAACUAAUGAAAUUAGUGUUGUCACACAUCCAAAAUCUUUUUUCAGAAAUAUUAACAAAAAUAAACCAAAAAAGAUAGAGGACCGACUUCUUCAAGAUGGAAGUUCCUCCCUUUGAUCCCGCACUAUCGAGUUCCACUUGAUCCCGUUGAUAAAUAAAUGAGGGGUUUUCAUUAUAUAGGAGAGGAAGGAGUGUUUCCCUCAAGUAAAGAAAGAUAUCUUUUGAAUUAAUUAAUUAAAUAGAUUCCUAAUUAGCUCAUAGAAUUAAUGAAGCAAUUUUCAAUUUUUAAUUAACUUUCCUUAAUCAUAUUAAACAAGGAAACAAAUCCAUCCAAAUAAAACAAAACUCUAAUUAACCACCAAACUGCACAAAUUAAACAUCAAUUUUUAAUUUGGGAAGGAGUGGAAAAGUCCCAGUGACUACACAGCCAAACUGCACCAACUCUAAGGCUUUCUUACUUUUAAAUGUGUUGACAAUCAACCGACAUUCACUUGCCCAGAUACUCAAGGACAAAAGGUUAGACUUUGUUUUGGGAAUGACCACUGGGUGCAGAUAAAGAAAAUCUUCAUUAACAAACUCGAAAGGUUCACCUAGAGGUUUGAUGGUGGAGAUACAAUCUAGAUGAGAUAUGUACAUUCUAACCGGUAAUUGUCCUUGAAUUGAAUUUUUUUCUCAAAUCUAUUAAUUUAGGAGAUUGCUAUUGACAAUCCUUUUUUGUUAUUGGCAAACGUCUUCAUACAACCACCUAAAAAAUAAUAAAAUAUAAUUUUACUAAAUGCAAUCCCUCAAUUACCAAUCAUACCCUUUUAUGGCAUCUUCUGAGUUCUGAGUUGAUGCAGAUUGACCCAAAAGAUGACAUCUUCUGGGAUAUUGCAGAAACAUUUGAAAUAUCAUCUUUCGGGUCUAUAACCCAACGUCUUAACCCCUAAGAACAUUAAAUUGAUCUAACAAAUGUAAAAACUAUUUGUCACCUCAUCCUCUUUGAUAUUCAGAUCAUCACAUUUGAAAAUCUAUGUUUUCUCUGUCAUAUUGCAUCUACGAAAGAUGCAUAUGGAAUCAAGAGGAGGAUAAGAAGAAUAAGAUUAAUAAUAAUAAUGGGAAGAAAAAGGGGGUGCAUGGAAGGAGUUGGAAGAUUUUGUUGGAAUUAAGCGAUAAAUUGAGGACAUUUAUAAUCAUUGCAGAGGGUAUCUUAGGAAUAUUAAAAGUUCUUAAAAUUUUCUAUAAGUAGUUAAAAAAGGUUUCCAAUAGAAAUCUCCUUAAUUAAGGAAUAUUUAUGAUAUUAAACCAUGAUUUUGGUGUUCUGUUAGUUCAAUUGAGUCCACAAUUAUAUCUGAUCAUCAACGCAUUGGCACUUGUUUCAUCCAUUUCGUUCAAGGUACGCUACCAAAUUACUAAAUUAGUAAGGAUACAUAAAAUUGAAUUCCGAGGACAAAACUACACCGAUAUGUCCUUGAGUGCAAGAAAAAAAAUUGCGCUAUAUUCUACAAUAUGCUACAACUAUAAUACUUAAAAACAUGUAAUAAUAUUUUUUGAAUGAAUAAGCUGUUUGAGCAAUAGUUCCUAUCUUCUUCUUGCCUCUUUUUAUGCACAAUUUUCUUCUUUUCUUUUUUGUUUUCCAUCCCCACGAUUGAGAUCCGUUCUUUACUAUAUUUCGAAUAACUUCCCGGUAUAGGUUUCAGAUAAGGGACUAUUUUUUGCACCUAAAAUUUUCAAAUUCCAUUUUUCCAAGAAACACUAGAGUUUUGUGUUCUCCCAAUUGCUUCGUCCAAAACAUGAAGCUCACAUAGGAAAGCCUUCUCUUCAAAAACUUAACCACCAAGAAAUUUAUGACUGCAAGAGUGCAGAAGAAAAAUAGAAAGAAAAAAAUAAAAGAUAGAAAGCGCGACCCGGCACUUAAAUCGCUGAGAAAGAGAUCGGCAAGAAACAGAAGCAAGAGGAACACAUCGAUGAAUCAGGUAUGCGAUCUAAAUUUAGAACCGGGAACGCAUCAGCCCAGAUUCACGAAGGCGCAAUAGGAACGAGACAAAAAUAGGGGAUCGAUCCAAAUCAUGGUCAUCAUCAACAUCAUCUCGACGGCAGUACGCGAACAAAAAUAUUCAUGGAAAAAGGUUGCAACGAUUACGGAAGAAAGGGUCAGACCUCGCGAGGGUUGGGGUUUUGGUUUCGCUGGCCGGAGUCGCCGUGCGUGAUGUCGGAGCUCGCGGAAUCUACCCGUCGUCGUCUCGGUUGUCCUCCCCACGUUGAAGGUAGACAAUGGCCCCACCGCCCUGCAGUUGCGCCCACUAUUGAGAGGACUUUCCUGGUCAGCGAGCACGGGCCGGAUGGUACUCACGGAAGUUUCCAGCCGUCGAUCCUGACAAGCAAACUCUUAUCAACGGUUAGAUGUGGGAUUGACAGCAUGAUCAAAGGUGAAGAUGAUCACACGGGUCAGCAAAGAGCCGCACCGAGUAUGUGCAUAUUGUUUUUGUUAUGAGCGAUUGCGUUGGCUGCAACGCCAAUGGUGGUUUCCGCAGCGCCCCACCAAUGGUGGUCACUCCAACCAUUCCUACUGUACAAAAGUGGGUAAUCGAAAAAAGGAAAAUAAAAUAACGUGCACGAGGGAGCCCGACGAGCGCGAGCAAAGCAGCGCACCCACCCACGGUUUUAUGCGCCUGGUGGCGAUGCAAGUGACGUGCACGGCUUUUGGCUGGAGCGUGGUGGGAAAGGAUUGAAGAAACCCACAUCAUACUAGUAGAACAAAGUUUGGCGAAAUAUUCGUAUUCCGCGAAGAUCCGUCCAAAAAAAAUCUCUCGUCCUUCCCACAUGUCAACCUCACCUACGAAUAUCAAAAUCCCAACUUGGGCUAUUUAGAAAAGUGCGUUAAACAAUAACAAGUUCUAUGUACUACAUGACUUGUGUUUGUUUAACGCAUACGACUCGUCGAAGCGUACGAUAUUGGACUGUUGGUGCUGUGUACCUGUUUUACGUGGUAUAGGUAUUUGUCGCAAAGGGAAGUAAGUGCGAUACAGGACCGCGCGUUCUAUUUCUCCUGGCGGUGGGCCAUGUGAGGAUGGACCCCGUCUCCUCCAAUAUAUUAAAUUAUUUUUAAUUACUUAUGAUUCAACUGAAAAGAAUCGAUAAUAGAAAAUUCAUGUUUAUUGUUACUGUUGCAUGAAAAAGAAAAGAAGAAAUAAAAAAGAGCAGAAAUACGAGGCUUGAGAAACAGAAAAAAUCAUGUAACAUUAGAACCGUGCAGUCUUCGAUUGAAAAAACUUCCCCGUUAAUGGAAAUUGGAGAUCUGUACAAGAGAUAGGAGGAUGGCAAGGUCAGGAACACUAAGGGAAAAGAAAAGAAGGAAAAAAGAAACUGGAAAGAACACCACGCCGAAGGGGGAUCUUUAAGAGAUUAAUGCGAUCUGGAACUUAUUUCCAUUGUGAUCACUCGGAAUCGCUGUCCAUGCUCUCCAUCCCCUUCAAUCCCCUGCGCUUCUGCAGAAAGCAGCGGGUACAACGAAUUAACAUGUAUCGCAGAGAGUAAAACGCACGGCCCCAAUCGGAAAAAGGGGCAGAUAAAGAAUUAAGGACGAGGGAACGAGAAAUUGGGACCAUAGUCAACAUCAGGGGCCCACGUGAAAGGGAGAAGGCGACCAAAUUAAUUUAAGCCCCCACCCCCGAGGGCCAAGGCAUGGAAUUCAAUUCGUACAUGCACAUUGUAUGAUCGACCUUCUCGGUCAUAAUGAAUUCGACAACCAUCAUGUCGAAUGGAGACAUGACGAAGGAGGGGCAUCGAGGAAAAGGUUCCAGGGGAAGAAAAGCAUAUGACGGAGCUGGCGACAGGUCAAUAUUAGCAGUGAAAGUAAAUAAAUAUAAACGAGUAAUUUAUUUGUCAGGGGAGAUUUGAUGGGGGAAAAGAGAGCGAAAGCACGAUCCGGGGAUUUGCGUUAUACCUUCUUUACGCACUUCUUCUCCCUCACUUCAUACCGUCCUCUCGUCAGAUCCGAAAGCCACAUUCCAGGAAAACAAUACUACACACAAAAAAAAUGCAUAUAUUAUUUUGUAAAACAACAAGUGAUGAAAAGGAUUACGAUGGAUCGAGGGGUUAGUGAUUGUGAACCUGGAGAUUCUUAUCGAUGUUCUUAGCCCUCUUUUUGGGUCUCUGGGGAAGCUUGGUGCCCUUCAUGGCCAAGAAGUCGUCCUCCUUCUCCUUGCGGGAAAGGGAUAAGCAAAUCUUGGGCCACUCGAACUGAUCCAGGUUCAGCCUCUCCCCGAUCGCGACCAGCGGAGGGGCGCUGCCGCUGCCGCCCGUAUCCUGGUCCGAUGCCAGCUUCGACUCCGGGAGGUUCAUGUGGCCGUCCGCUGCG